This 459-nucleotide ribosomal RNA is filed under the name uncultured bacterium. RNAcentral's name for it is "partial 16S ribosomal RNA". It matches the Rfam family "Bacterial small subunit ribosomal RNA", at positions 338 to 795 of the family's 1533-position model. The record is from RNAcentral.
CCUACGGGGGGCAGCAGUGAGGAAUAUUGGUCAAUGGACGCAAGUCUGAACCAGCCAAGUAGCGUGAAGGAUGAAUGCCCUCUGGGUUGUAAACUUCUUUUAUAAAGGAAUAAAACGAGACACGUGUGCCUUUUUGCAUGUACUUUAUGAAUAAGGCACGGCUAACUCCGUUCCAGCAGCCGCGGAAAUACGGGGGAUGCGAGGGUUAUCCGGAUUUAUUGGGUUAAAAGGGUGCGCAGGGGGAGGCACAAGUCAGUGGUAAAAUCGCGGGGCUCAACCCCGCUCCGCCGUUGAAACUGUGUGCCUUGAGUGCGCGAAGGGUAGGCGGAAUGCGUGGUGUAGCGGUGAAAUGCAUAGAUAUCCCGCAGAACUCCGAUCGCGAAGGCAGCCUACCGGCGCGCAACUGACGCUGAGGCACGAAAGCGUGGGUAUCGAACAGGAUUAGAUACCCUUGUAGUC